This 1310-nucleotide ribosomal RNA is filed under the name Valsaria ceratoniae. Its description in RNAcentral is "eukaryotic LSU rRNA". It matches the Rfam family "Eukaryotic large subunit ribosomal RNA", at positions 1 to 1399 of the family's 3401-position model. Lineage: Eukaryota; Fungi; Ascomycota; Dothideomycetes; Valsariales; Valsariaceae. The record is from RNAcentral.
GUUGACCUCGGAUCACGCGGGGAUACCCGCUGAACUUAAGCAUAUCAAUAAGCGGAGGAAAAGAAACCAACAGGGAUUGCCUUAGUAACGGCGAGUGAAGCGGCAACAGCUCAAAUUUGAAAUCUGGUCCCCCCGGGGCCCGAGUUGUAAUUUGCAGAGGGUGCUUCGGCGUCGGCUCCGGUCCAAGUUCCUUGGAACAGGACGUCACAGAGGGUGAGAACCCCGUACGUGGCCGGAAGUCUUCGCCGUGUGAAGCCCCUUCGACGAGUCGAGUUGUUUGGGAAUGCAGCUCUAAAUGGGAGGUAAAUUUCUUCUAAAGCUAAAUACCGGCCAGAGACCGAUAGCGCACAAGUAGAGUGAUCGAAAGAUGAAAAGCACUUUGGAAAGAGAGUUAAAAAGCACGUGAAAUUGUUAAAAGGGAAGCAGUUGCAGCCAGACUUGGCCGCGGGCGUUCAACCGUGCUUCUGCACGGUGUACUCGACCGCGGUCAGGCCAGCAUCAGUUCGGGCGGCCGGAUAAAGGUCCUGGGAAUGUGGCUCCCCUCGGGGAGUGUUAUAGCCCGGGGCGUAAUACGGCCAGCCUGGACUGAGGUCCGCGCUUCGGCUAGGAUGCUGGCAUAAUGGCUGUAACUGGCCCGUCUUGAAACACGGACCAAGGAGUCUAACAUCUAUGCGAGUGUUUGGGUGUCAAACCCAUACGCGUAAUGAAAGUGAACGGAGGUGAGAGCCGCAAGGCGCAUCAUCGACCGAUCCUGAUGUCUUCGGAUGGAUUUGAGUAUGAGCAUAGCUGUUGGGACCCGAAAGAUGGUGAACUAUGCCUGAAUAGGGUGAAGCCAGAGGAAACUCUGGUGGAGGCUCGCAGCGGUUCUGACGUGCAAAUCGAUCGUCAAAUUUGGGUAUAGGGGCGAAAGACUAAUCGAACCAUUGACCUACUAGGUGGUUAACAGGCGGCUAAAAGUGCCCGCCUAGUCCCUUCACUCGGGGCGACGCUAUCAAAUUGCGGGGACAUCCUUAGAGCUCAGGCUACCGCGGCCCGCCGAAAGGCAGGGUGCAGCACCGGGGUAACGACCCAGGGGAAGGUAAAAACGCCUGAGAUUGGACAAUCCGCAGCCAAGUCCUAAACGCCCUCGGGGCGCACGGAUGCAGUUCACAGACUAGAUGGUAGCGGGUCGCCCUCAACGGGCGGCUUAAGAUAUAGUCGACUCCCCGCGGAGACGCGGGCGACGGGGCAAAGCUCGAAGGAUGGGUGAGCGGCGAGCGGCCGCGCCUGAGAGCCCGAACCCCGUCGGGAAGCGCGCGUUCGCGCCUUCC